Loxodonta africana (African savanna elephant) is the source of this 1280-nucleotide long non-coding RNA. RefSeq lists it as uncharacterized. The transcript is spliced from 3 exons. The record is from RefSeq and is a predicted model, not a curated record. Lineage: Eukaryota; Metazoa; Chordata; Mammalia; Proboscidea; Elephantidae.
UCCCACCCCGCCGGUGCCGGCCUAGGCCGCGGUUUCUUCCUGCACCGCCGGGUUCUGGACGAACGAGUAGCCGGGCUGGACCACUCUCGGUCCCCUAACAGGUGGUCCAGUAGUGAAGAGCUUGGCUACUAACUAAAAGGUUGGCAGUUGGAAUCCACCAGCUGCUCCUUGGAAACGAUGUGGGGCAGUUCUACGCUGUCCUAUAGGGUCGCUGUGAGUCAAGACCGACUUGAUGGCAAUGGGUUUGGUUUUUUGUUUAGAUGAAGAUCUGAAGCCACCUUUUGGAUAGCUUGAUUUAAGAUUCGGAAGAUGACUGGAAGAAAGAACAACAAAAUCAAGAAUAAACCUAAAGAAAUACCCGUGUUUAACAGAAUGUUUUUAAGACUAUGUUUUUGAAUAAAGGAAUUUAAGGAAUCAAUAAAUUGUUUGGCUGUUUGAGAAGAGGAAAAAUCUUUUUUUUGCAUUUGUAAUAUCUUGUAUUUCCAUAUGUAAUUUGUCAAUAUUAAAACUCAAAUCGGAAUGAUUCCAUAUGCCCUGGAUAUGAUUUUUGAUUUUUUCCCAAUUAUGUAUGGUAGUAUUUACAGGCAGUGGAGUAACACAAAUCCAUUUGAAACUUACAUGGCAUCUCAAAGUAAGUCGCACUUUGAGAUUAGUGAUUUCUUGUCCUAUAUAUAGAAUUGCUUCUUCAAGGGCAUUAACUUCUUGUUGUAAUUUUCUAUCAAUGGCUUCUUGUGUGGCUAAGGCUAAAGUAAUAUUUUUACUUAAAUUAUUUACAUAGUUUGCAGUAUGAAUCUGUUGUGUUAACGCCAUAGCAGAAAGUGAAAGAGAAGUUGCUAAAGCUAUGAGAGCAGAAAUCCCCAGUAUUAAAGCUGCUACAAACCGUUUGGCUCGAGAUAAAAUAGCAGAAGCUUGUUUUAAGGCUUCUAGGCCUGAAUCAUCAUACCAAUCUUCUUGUAAAUGUACAGGAAUCAUAAUAUAUUUUGGCUGUUGUAAAAUCAUCAUACUUUCGACAGGAAUUGCAGGAUUUAUACAACUGGUCAGUAUACAAUUUUCACAAGAACUAACAUAAUGUGUUUUCUUGUUUUCUAUAACAAUACUAGAGUGAUUGUUGCGGCUAAUUAAUAACACAUAUGGAGCAGGUACACAAGCUUGAAUAUCAAAACUCUCAUUAUUAAAAGGACGGGACAAAGUGACAUUGCCGGCAGCAGUUGCCAGUCUCCACAAAGAUGGAUGUAUGUUACCCGUGAAGGUAGAAAGAAUAGGGGGAACCCAUCCAUUUA